Molecule: ribosomal RNA, 497 nt
Filed under: uncultured bacterium
Lineage: Bacteria
Description: partial 16S ribosomal RNA
Rfam family: Bacterial small subunit ribosomal RNA
Source: RNAcentral
GACGAACGCUGGCGGCGUGCCUAAUACAUGCAAGUUGAGCGCUGAAGGUUGGUACUUGUACCAACUGGAUGAGCAGCGAACGGGUGAGUAACGCGUGGGGAAUCUGCCUUUGAGCGGGGGACAACAUUUGGAAACGAAUGCUAAUACCGCAUAAAAACUUUAAACACAAGUUUUAAGUUUGAAAGAUGCAAUUGCAUCACUCAAAGAUGAUCCCGCGUUGUAUUAGCUAGUUGGUGAGGUAAAGGCUCACCAAGGCGAUGAUACAUAGCCGACCUGAGAGGGUGAUCGGCCACAUUGGGACUGAGACACGGCCCAAACGCCUACGGGAGGCAGCAGUAGGGAAGCUUCGGCAAUGGACGAAAGUCUGACCGAGCAACGCCGCGUGAGGGAAGAAGGUUGUCGGAUCGUAAAACUCGGUUGGUAGAGAAGAACGUUGGUGAGAGUGGAAAGCUCAUCAAGUGACGGUAACUACCCAGAAAGGGACGGCUAACUACGUG